Molecule: ribosomal RNA, 253 nt
Filed under: uncultured bacterium
Lineage: Bacteria
Description: partial 16S ribosomal RNA
Rfam family: Bacterial small subunit ribosomal RNA
Source: RNAcentral
UACGAACCGUCCAAACGUUAUUCGGAAUUACUGGGCUUAAAGGGUUUGUAGGCGGCCUUGUAAGUGGGGUGUGAAAUCCCUCGGCUCAACCGAGGAAUAGCGCUCCAAACUACAUGGCUUGAGGGAGACAGGGGUAAGCGGAACUGAUGGUGGAGCGGUGAAAUGCGUUGAUAUCAUCAGGAACACCGGUGGCGAAAGCGGCUUACUGGGUCUCUACUGACGCUGAGAAACGAAAGCUAGGGUAGCGAACGGG